Molecule: ribosomal RNA, 2904 nt
Filed under: Enterobacter cloacae
Lineage: Bacteria; Pseudomonadati; Pseudomonadota; Gammaproteobacteria; Enterobacterales; Enterobacteriaceae
Description: bacterial LSU rRNA
Rfam family: Bacterial large subunit ribosomal RNA
Source: RNAcentral
UUAAGCGACUAAGCGUACACGGUGGAUGCCCUGGCAGUCAGAGGCGAUGAAGGACGUGCUAAUCUGCGAAAAGCGCCGGCGAGGUGAUAUGAACCUUUGACCCGGCGAUGUCCGAAUGGGGAAACCCAGUGCAAUUCGUUGCACUAUCGUUAACUGAAUACAUAGGUUAACGAGGCGAACCGGGGGAACUGAAACAUCUAAGUACCCCGAGGAAAAGAAAUCAACCGAGAUUCCCCCAGUAGCGGCGAGCGAACGGGGAGCAGCCCAGAGUCUGAAUCAGCUUGUGUGUUAGUGGAAGCGUCUGGAAAGUCGCACGGUACAGGGUGACAGUCCCGUACACGAAAGCACACAGGCUGUGAACUCGAAGAGUAGGGCGGGACACGUGGUAUCCUGUCUGAAUAUGGGGGGACCAUCCUCCAAGGCUAAAUACUCCUGACUGACCGAUAGUGAACCAGUACCGUGAGGGAAAGGCGAAAAGAACCCCGGCGAGGGGAGUGAAAAAGAACCUGAAACCGUGUACGUACAAGCAGUGGGAGCACCUUCGUGGUGUGACUGCGUACCUUUUGUAUAAUGGGUCAGCGACUUAUAUUCUGUAGCAAGGUUAACCGUAUAGGGGAGCCGAAGGGAAACCGAGUCUUAACUGGGCGUUAAGUUGCAGGGUAUAGACCCGAAACCCGGUGAUCUAGCCAUGGGCAGGUUGAAGGUUGGGUAACACUAACUGGAGGACCGAACCGACUAAUGUUGAAAAAUUAGCGGAUGACUUGUGGCUGGGGGUGAAAGGCCAAUCAAACCGGGAGAUAGCUGGUUCUCCCCGAAAGCUAUUUAGGUAGCGCCUCGUGAACUCAUCUUCGGGGGUAGAGCACUGUUUCGGCUAGGGGGCCAUCCCGGCUUACCAACCCGAUGCAAACUACGAAUACCGAAGAAUGUUAUCACGGGAGACACACGGCGGGUGCUAACGUCCGUCGUGAAGAGGGAAACAACCCAGACCGCCAGCUAAGGUCCCAAAGUCAUGGUUAAGUGGGAAACGAUGUGGGAAGGCACAGACAGCCAGGAUGUUGGCUUAGAAGCAGCCAUCAUUUAAAGAAAGCGUAAUAGCUCACUGGUCGAGUCGGCCUGCGCGGAAGAUGUAACGGGGCUAAACCAUGCACCGAAGCUGCGGCAGCGACGCUUAUGCGUUGUUGGGUAGGGGAGCGUUCUGUAAGCCGUUGAAGGUGUGCUGUGAGGCAUGCUGGAGGUAUCAGAAGUGCGAAUGCUGACAUAAGUAACGAUAAAGCGGGUGAAAAGCCCGCUCGCCGGAAGACCAAGGGUUCCUGUCCAACGUUAAUCGGGGCAGGGUGAGUCGACCCCUAAGGCGAGGCCGAAAGGCGUAGUCGAUGGGAAACAGGUUAAUAUUCCUGUACUUGGUGUUACUGCGAAGGGGGGACGGAGAAGGCUAUGUUAGCCGGGCGACGGUUGUCCCGGUUUAAGCAUGUAGGCGGAACGAUUAGGUAAAUCCGGUCGUUUAUUAACGCUGAGGUGUGAUGACGAGGCACUACGGUGCUGAAGUAACAAAUGCCCUGCUUCCAGGAAAAGCCUCUAAGCAUCAGGUAACACGAAAUCGUACCCCAAACCGACACAGGUGGUCAGGUAGAGAAUACCAAGGCGCUUGAGAGAACUCGGGUGAAGGAACUAGGCAAAAUGGUGCCGUAACUUCGGGAGAAGGCACGCUGAUAUGUAGGUGAAGCCCCUGCGGGUGGAGCUGAAAUCAGUCGAAGAUACCAGCUGGCUGCAACUGUUUAUUAAAAACACAGCACUGUGCAAACACGAAAGUGGACGUAUACGGUGUGACGCCUGCCCGGUGCCGGAAGGUUAAUUGAUGGGGUUAGCGGUAACGCGAAGCUCUUGAUCGAAGCCCCGGUAAACGGCGGCCGUAACUAUAACGGUCCUAAGGUAGCGAAAUUCCUUGUCGGGUAAGUUCCGACCUGCACGAAUGGCGUAAUGAUGGCCAGGCUGUCUCCACCCGAGACUCAGUGAAAUUGAACUCGCUGUGAAGAUGCAGUGUACCCGCGGCAAGACGGAAAGACCCCGUGAACCUUUACUAUAGCUUGACACUGAACACUGGUCCUUGAUGUGUAGGAUAGGUGGGAGGCUUUGAAGCGUGGACGCCAGUCUGCGUGGAGCCGACCUUGAAAUACCACCCUUUAAUGGCUGGUGUUCUAACGUAGACCCGUAAUCCGGGUUGCGGACAGUGUCUGGUGGGUAGUUUGACUGGGGCGGUCUCCUCCCAAAGAGUAACGGAGGAGCACGAAGGUUAGCUAAUCCUGGUCGGACAUCAGGAGGUUAGUGCAAUGGCAUAAGCUAGCUUGACUGCGAGAGUGACGGCUCGAGCAGGUGCGAAAGCAGGUCAUAGUGAUCCGGUGGUUCUGAAUGGAAGGGCCAUCGCUCAACGGAUAAAAGGUACUCCGGGGAUAACAGGCUGAUACCGCCCAAGAGUUCAUAUCGACGGCGGUGUUUGGCACCUCGAUGUCGGCUCAUCACAUCCUGGGGCUGAAGUAGGUCCCAAGGGUAUGGCUGUUCGCCAUUUAAAGUGGUACGCGAGCUGGGUUUAGAACGUCGUGAGACAGUUCGGUCCCUAUCUGCCGUGGGCGCUGGAGAAUUGAGGGGGGCUGCUCCUAGUACGAGAGGACCGGAGUGGACGCAUCACUGGUGUUCGGGUUGUCAUGCCAAUGGCACUGCCCGGUAGCUAAAUGCGGAAAAGAUAAGUGCUGAAAGCAUCUAAGCACGAAACUUGCCCCGAGAUGAGUUCUCCCUGACCCUUUAAGGGUCCUGAAGGAACGUUGAAGACUACGACGUUGAUAGGUCGGGUGUGUAAGCGCAGCGAUGCGUUGAGCUAACCGAUACUAAUGAACCGUGAGGCUUAACCUU